Molecule: long non-coding RNA, 4052 nt
Organism: Gallus gallus (chicken)
Lineage: Eukaryota; Metazoa; Chordata; Aves; Galliformes; Phasianidae
Source: Ensembl
AAGAAAAAGAGGGAGCCAGGCAGAGCGUCCAGUUCUUUGAGAGUGCUGGGUGAAUCUGAGGGCAAUGCGAUUGGUUUUAACCAGCAUAAUUUAUUCAAGCCCAGAACUGUAGCUCUUCUGUCUGACUGCAGGAAUCCCACAGCCCCUCAUCUACUAAGGGCUGGCAUGGAGCACAAAUACUUCAAAACUACCAGCAGCCCUUUCUUCUCCUAUGGAACGUACUUGAAGCCUCACCCCCAAACAAUUGUCAGUUGCCAAAUUAAACUGCUGUCUCUUGGACUCCAUGGAAGCCAGCUAGUUCUGGGAGACCCUUAAGUUCACAGAGCACAGAUAAAGGCUAAGGAAGUGCUUGAGAAACCCAGGAUGAAUAAUGCACUUAUCCAAAACCAAGAAUGCUUUUCUAGUAACAGUUUCUCAAUAUUCACUUUUUGUGUUACUUAAAUCAGUCUAAAGGAGUUGCAUAUUUGCAACUAGGCUAGUCUUUGCUAGGCUGUGUAGGGAUGGAGUCAGGAAAGCCAAGGCGCAGCUUGAACUAAACUUGGCAAGGGAUACCAAGAAGAAAAAGGAUGGCUUCUACAGGUACCUCAACAAGAAAAGGAAAGUCCAGGACAGAGUACCCUGACAGUGAGUGACACAGACAAGCUGAUAACAACAGACGAGGAGAAGGCUGAGGUACUUAACAGCUUUUUUGCCUCGGUCUUCUCUGAUAACUGCUCACCACACAGCCUUCAAAUGUCUGGUUUGGUAGGAGAGGAUCCAGGAAGGAACGUCCCUCUCACUGUAAGCAAUGAUCAAGUUUGUUACCACCUGAGGAACAUGAACAUCCACAAGCCUCUGGGUCCCGAAGAGAUGUAUCUCAGAAUCCUGAGGAAACUGGCUGAUUUAGUUGCCAAGACACUCCUAGUGAUAUUUGAAAAGCUGUGGCAGUCAGGUGAAGUCUCUGGUGACUGGAAAAAAGGCAACAUCACAUCUAUUUUUAAGAAGAGUAAAAAGGAUGACCCCAUGAAUUACUGACCUGUUAGUCUCACCUCUGUGCUGGGGAAGAUCAUGGAGCAGAUCCUCCUGGAAGCUAUUCUUAGCCACAUGGAAAGCAGGGAGAUGAUACAGGAGAAUCAACAUGCCUUCACCAAGGGUCCUUGUGGCCCUCCUCUGAACCUAUUCCAACAGGUCUAUGUCUCUGUUGUGCUGGAGACCCCAGGCCUGGACGCAGCACUUCAGGUGGGACCUCAUGAGAGCAGAGCAGAGGGGGACAAUUACCCCCCUUGCCCUUUUGUUUGCCCCUUUUUUCAGGGGCAUGAGCUGCUGGCUCAUGUCGAACUUUUCAUCCACCAAUUCCCCCAAGUCCUUCAACACAGGGCAAUUCAAAAUAAUUUAUCCUUUUGCCUAGAACAAAGCAAGGAGUCUGAAAAUUGCCCCACUCAGUGUGUUAUUGGGAUUAACGCAGGAUUUGCUGUUAGCUGUUGCUACCAAGUGACUGGACUAAGGGCUACAUCCCUGGUGAAUAUUAGAUGUUGAGCUCCUAAAAUGGGCACUCGUUUUGAAUGGUGAUGACCUCUGUGCAAAAGGCAGGAAUCCAUAGAGAGGAGACUGACAAACAUCCUGCUGAGCCAGAUUGUCCUCUGCCUGAGAAAAGUGCCCUUCUCUGGGGACUCCUUGGACAAAACUCCUGAAAGUAUGUGUCUAUGCUCAUUUUUAUUCUAAAUAGAGCAAGAGGUCAUGCCUGUAUGAUGCCAUCAGAGGAAGUGUCUUUCCUCUUCCCUACUGAUAAACUCAGUGCAGUCAUGUGCGACGUGAUGUACAGAAGUUCAGUCCCCUCUCCUCCCUGUUGCAAUUCAACACCAUGUAUUCCAUCUUUAAGCACCCACCAAGUAUAGAGUAUGCCAGUCCAUGCUGCAAAACCACUUAAUUCAUGUUGUAUAAAAACUGUUUGUGAUAAUAACAUUUUUUUUCCCAUAUCCUGAAUGAAUAUUCUCUUUCCUGGGGAAAAAGCUGAAGGAAAUUUAUAUGGUACCUACACAGUGCAUCACAAAAUAGACAAUUCUGGUAUGAUUCUAUUAGAUCAAAUCUAUUAGAGACAGAGGAAGAAGGAACUCCAAAGAACAUAGGAAACACCCUACCAGGAUUGACAGGGGUCAGUGCAUCCAGGGGCUUGUGCUGUAAGUCUGGUUUCCUCCAGUCCCCACUCUUCAGACUCCUGGCCAUCUGGAACAGCUGUUAGGGGUGUUAGAAGGUAGUCAUACUUUUAGGGUACACUUCUAGGCCUACUGUCCUUGAAUUAUUCUAAUUUCUUUGGAACCUGCUAAUAGUGUCUACCUCUAACAUAGAAUCAUAGAAUCGCUAAAGUUGGAAAAGACCCCCAGGAUCAUCCAGUAUAACCAUUCGCCCUUCACCAAUUGUUCUCGCUAAACCAUGUCCCUCAACACAACAUCCAAACGCUCUUUGAACACCACCAGGGUCAGUGACUCCACCACCUCUCUGGGCAGCCCAUUCCAGUGCCUGACCACCCUUUCAGAGAAGUAGUAUUUCCUAAUGUCCAGCCUGAACCUUCCCUGGUGCAGCUUGAAGCCAUUCCCUCUAGUCCUAAAAUGCUUUGUGAUGGUAGACCUUGAAGAAGUCUGCUACUUUCCAUGUUAUGUGGAUUUCCCACAUUCAGGCUGGGGUUAUACACGUGCUUUGAAGGUGUUCUGCCUGGCUGUGACAAGCCACUGUACCUGUGAUCCCAUGUGAGCACAGAGACAUUGGGCUCCCAGGUGCUUUCAUUUCAGCAGGUAAAGCAUGGAUGGAUGGCUGCUGUCUGUAAGGUGAAGUGACAGACUUGGGAUUGUAUCUGGGAUUGCAAUUUUGCUUCUAGGAUUCUAAUUUCUACCUUGGGAUUUGAUCUCUCUCCAGGUUUCUCUCUGUUCCCAUUACUCUCUCUCUAAAGGUGAUGCCUUGUUUCCAACUAUUUUUUCAACAGGGAGCCAAUUAAAGAUUCCAACCUCAGCCAAUCAGUAGAGCCCUAAGAUUGUACAGAGUGGACCAUCAUGGGAAGGAAAGUGAGCAAGAAACAGUUAUAGCCAAUACGUUGCUAAUUAGGCCUGGCUGAGCCUCCUGCAACUUAAAGACUUGCUUAAUUCAGUAUUCCUUUAUUUUUGAUGGAAACAGGAUCAGCAUGCAAAUGCCAUUUGGUAUUCUAUUUUUCUGCAUUGACAGCAUAGCUACACAAAAAUAUUAUGACCUGCUGCUGCCAAAUGCAACUGAAUUAUUCCGAAGCACUCCUGAGCCCGUCUUUGUCACAGUCUCCUAUUUCAGUCCCUGUCAUGCACUGUGCCUAUCAUUCAUUAUAGUUGAUAGGCUUAGGGCAGAAAAGUGUCUCUUGUCUUGUUCUCUGGAGAAUUUCAUCUUGGCUGUCUCACCUUCAAUCACUGCUAAUAGCUCCGCUGGCACAAAUUCAGAGAGGAGCUGUGAGGAGACAAUGAAAAUAUUUCACAGGGCAUUUUAUAUUUUAAUAGCUAGUUUUAAAAAAUGAGUUUGCUGGAGCAGACCAAAAUGAAGAUUGCUAAGAGAGAUUUUUCUUACAAGCAUUUUAACUAAUUCUUUUUUAAUUGUUAUUAAUCUUGAAGCCUUCUGCAUCCUUUUCACUUUUUCUCCUAUGAACUGCUAUAGGGAUUGGGUUCUACUUUGAUCAACUAAUAACCAUUUAUCUGACAAACGUAUUAGGAUGAUUUACUGCUCAAUAUUACUAUGCUGGAGGAAAGAAUAAAAUAGCACCGGAACUUUACUGUGUUUCCGUAGGAUGCUUAUUCAAAUUUUGGCCUGCUGCCUCCACCUGUCUUUACAAUGGCAUUGUGGCUGUGCUUGCGGUAGGAACUCUGUCACAGCUCUCAUGUCCUGCAAAGGUCAUAGCAAAAGAGUGCAAUGAAGCUCAGCAUUUUGGCAGAAGCACAGUGGAUAACCCAAGUGAGAGUAGAACCAAUGUACUGUCUUUAAGCUUUUUAUGUUUUAUUUACUAUAGUUUUCUUCUGUAUACGAGAACUCCCAAUCUGGGUUUCUGAUCUCUGAUCAGCAGGCAG